This 84-nucleotide small nucleolar RNA is filed under the name Brettanomyces bruxellensis. RNAcentral describes it as "Dekkera bruxellensis Small nucleolar RNA R38". It matches the Rfam family "Small nucleolar RNA R38". From Rfam's summary of the family: snoR38 is a C/D box small nucleolar RNA conserved across yeast, human, Arabidopsis and rice. RNAcentral also lists the same sequence under 1 other name. The record is from Rfam by way of RNAcentral. Lineage: Eukaryota; Fungi; Ascomycota; Pichiomycetes; Pichiales; Pichiaceae.
AUUCAUAUGAUGAGAACCUUUUUAUUUUAUACAGUUAUCCCUGUCUUAAGAGAUCAUGUCGAGAAUUUUAUAUCUGAAGUGAAU